Molecule: ribosomal RNA, 460 nt
Filed under: uncultured bacterium
Lineage: Bacteria
Description: partial 16S ribosomal RNA
Rfam family: Bacterial small subunit ribosomal RNA
Source: RNAcentral
CCUACGGGCGGCAGCAGUGAGGAAUAUUGGUCAAUGGACGGAAGUCUGAACCAGCCAUGCCGCGUGCAGGAAGACGGCCCUAUGAGUUGUAAACCGCUUUUGCACGAGGGUAAACGUGAAUACGUGUCUUCAGCUGAAAGUACUGUACGAAAAAAGAACGGCUAAAUCCGUGCCAGGAGCCGCGGUAAUACGGAGGGUCCAAGCGUUAUUCGGAUUUAUUUGGGUUAAAGGGUGCGUAGGUUGAGAGAUAAGAUCGAGGUGAAAUGUCCGAGCUUAACUCGGGAACUGCCUCUAAUACUGGUGGUCUAGAGAGUAGGUGCGGUAGGCGGAAUGUAUGGUGUAGCGGUGAAAUGCGUAGAGAUCAUACAGAACACCGAUUGCGAAGGCAGCUUACCAAUCUAUAUCUGACGUUGAGGCACGAAAGCGUGGGGAGCAAACAGGAUUAGAUACCCCUGUAGUC